GGCGGAGGGGACCUUGCGGCGAGGGGCCCGCGGUGGAGGGACCCAAGGGUGGCCCCGCCCCACAUCCGCACUGCGUCCGCCCUGUCUCCAGGACAAACAGGGCCCGCGCCGGCGCCGCACACUCCGCGUGACUUUUACUGUUCCAGGGCCAGGCCCCUGUCACUCCCCAGCUCCGCAGGAGGGCCACGCACCCAUUGCACUGCCGGGGAAACCGAGGCUGGGGAAGCCCAGGCUGCACAGCGGGGGCGGGGGGAGACCUGCGACUGGGGCCCAGUUGGGAGACAUUUGUUGACUGACCCAGUGACCCCUUCUGAGCCGUUCCCAUCCAGGAAGACAUCCGGGGCUCCCGGGAGGGAAACGGCCUGCGGCGGCCCCGUCCCUCCCGCCGGCCCAGGGCUCUGGUUUCGGCCGGAAGCGCCCACCGCAGGGAGCAGGGCAGUCGCCGGCCGGAAAGGCGGCGAGAACAAAGACCUCGCCGCCACCUCCAGCACUGCGGGGACCACGGACCUGGCAGGUCCCGUCCUCUGUCCCCCAGCCCGGGCCUCGGCUCCCCCUGCAGGGUCCCAGCGCGGCGCUGUAGCCGAUGGGUUCCCGCCAAGGUUCUGGCCCCAGGGGACAGAGCUGCGGGGGCACCCAACCAGGGACGAUGGACAAACAAAGGAAGCCGCAGGCAAGCGGCUGAGGAAGGAUAGGGGACAGAGGCCGGGGAGCCUCAAGCCUGCACUCUGGGAGGCUGAGGCAGGAGGAUCCCAUCUCAAGAUUCACAUUCGGGUAGUGAACAUGAGCCCUCCCUCGGGCAGACGCCGGUGCAACCUCAGAGGGGCCGGGGUGCCGCUCAGGAGAGCCGGCCUGACCCCCGCCCCGGCCACCAGAAACAGGAGCCCAUGGAAGUGGUGGGUGCUGCCAAGGUCACUGGGGCCUGGGCACAGUCCAUGGCUGGCAGGGAGCCCGCGGAGAGCUACUGGGGAAGCAGCCCGUGGGCCCUCCACAAGCCGCACCCCAGAUGACCCAGGUCCCUGCGGCUGUGCUCCGAGUACCCGCCAAGGGAGCUGGAGACAAGCGCUCUUCCACCACACCCCGCAGCGGCCUAAGGCGCAGACAACCAGGUGCCUACCAGUGGUGAACAGACAGAGGGUGGCCUGCUCCCAGGGGAAUAUUACUCAGCCAGGAGCAGGGACCAGGUGCUGAUAUACGCUACAAUCUGGAUGGACCUCAGGACUGUAGUGUUGAGUAACAGCAGCCAGACACACAAGGCCAUAGCAGGUGGGAUCCCACUGACAUGCAGUGUCUAGCCCAGGCAGAUCCAGAGAUAGGAAGCAGACUGGUGACUGCCGGGGGCUGGGCAGGGCUGUCUGGGGGACAGCUCCUGGGAAUGAAGCUCCCUUGAAUGGGCUAAAAUCACUGAAUUUUGCACUUUAAAGGGUAAAUUGUACGGUGUGUGAGUUCUUUGUAUCUUAACAACAGCAGCAGGGCUGGGCACGGUGAUGCACACCUCGGAUCCUAGCACGCAGGAGGCUGAGGCAGGAGGAUUUCCGUGAAUCCGAGGCCAGCCUGAGCUGCUUAGUGAGACCCUGUCUCAAAAAAAAAAAAAAGCAGACCAAAAAUCCCAACAAAAACAGAAGGAAUAAGGGAAAGUCUGGGUCUGAGUGCACGGGCAGAAGGCCAGGGGCUGCUGUGUCCCUAGGUCACCUCCUGCAGCGCAACCCCAUCCUGGCCACACAGAGAGGCUCCUGGGGUGGUGGGCAGCGGGAUGUGCCUGGGGCGGUAAACUGAGGCAGCCAGGUCGCAUCCCAGGAGCUCCUGGGUCGGCCGAGGGACCUUAGCUGAGAGGGCCUCGAAUGCCGGCCACACGGCAGUUGCUCAACAAACCCUGGGCGGGGCUGGCGUGCCCUCCGUGGUCAGCCUCGCCCGCCGCGCGCCAGGCCCUGGAUUCCACCCCAGCCCCGCGCAGAUGAGCCCAUGCACAUAAAUAAAUAAUCAUCGGGCCGCGGCUCUGCGACCAGGGCGGCCUAGCGCACGCAGGACCCUGGGCCCCGCCGCGGCUCUGCGACCCGAGAAGAGCGUCCUGCAAACC
This is a long non-coding RNA of Chinchilla lanigera (long-tailed chinchilla), 2074 nucleotides long. The record is from Ensembl. Lineage: Eukaryota; Metazoa; Chordata; Mammalia; Rodentia; Chinchillidae.